This 464-nucleotide ribosomal RNA is filed under the name uncultured Klebsiella sp. RNAcentral's name for it is "bacterial SSU rRNA". It matches the Rfam family "Bacterial small subunit ribosomal RNA", at positions 338 to 795 of the family's 1533-position model. The record is from RNAcentral. Lineage: Bacteria; Pseudomonadati; Pseudomonadota; Gammaproteobacteria; Enterobacterales; Enterobacteriaceae.
CCUACGGGCGGCAGCAGUGGGGAAUAUUGCACAAUGGGCGCAAGCCUGAUGCAGCCAUGCCGCGUGUGUGAAGAAGGCCUUCGGGUUGUAAAGCACUUUCAGCGGGGAGGAAGGCGUUAAGGUUAAUAACCUUGGCGAUUGACGUUACCCGCAGAAGAAGCACCGGCUAACUCCGUGCCAGCAGCCGCGGUAAUACGGAGGGUGCAAGCGUUAAUCGGAAUUACUGGGCGUAAAGCGCACGCAGGCGGUCUGUCAAGUCGGAUGUGAAAUCCCCGGGCUCAACCUGGGAACUGCAUUCGAAACUGGCAGGCUAGAGUCUUGUAGAGGGGGGUAGAAUUGCAGGUGUAGCGGUGAAAUGCGUAGAGAUCUGGAGGAAUACCGGUGGCGAAGGCGGCCCCCUGGACAAAGACUGACGCUCAGGUGCGAAAGCGUGGGGAGCAAACAGGAUUAGUACCCCUGUAGUC